RNAcentral lists this ribosomal RNA (465 nucleotides) under uncultured bacterium. RNAcentral's name for it is "partial 16S ribosomal RNA". It matches the Rfam family "Bacterial small subunit ribosomal RNA", at positions 28 to 507 of the family's 1533-position model. The record is from RNAcentral.
GACGAACGCUGGCGGCGUGCUUAACACAUGCAAGUCGUACGGUAAGGCCCUUUCGGGGGUACACGAGUGGCGAACGGGUGAGUAACACGUGAGUAACCUGCCCACAACUUUGGGAUAACGCUAGGAAACUGGUGCUAAUACUGGAUAUGUGCUCCUGCUGCAUGGUGGGGGUUGGAAAGCUCCGGCGGUUGUGGAUGGACUCGCGGCCUAUCAGCUUGUUGGUGGGGUAGUGGCCUACCAAGGCGGCGACGGGUAGCCGGCCUGAGAGGGUGACCGGCCACAUUGGGACUGAGAUACGGCCCAGACUCCUACGGGAGGCAGCAGUGGGGAAUAUUGCACAAUGGGCGCAAGCCUGAUGCAGCAACGCCGCGUGCGGGAUGACGGCCUUCUGGUUGUAAACCGCUUUCAGCAGGGACGAAGCUUUUUGUGACGGUACCUGCAGAAGAAGCACCGGCUAACUACGUG